RNAcentral lists this unclassified non-coding RNA (319 nucleotides) under Hevea brasiliensis (rubber tree). Lineage: Eukaryota; Viridiplantae; Streptophyta; Magnoliopsida; Malpighiales; Euphorbiaceae. The record is from RNAcentral.
GCAUAUAUCUCUCUUCGGCUACUUUUUUUUCCCUUCACACAAACAAAACACAAUACUUUGCUUCCAGGGUUUCGUUUUUCUCCUCUGUAAAUUCUCUCCUCUCCGAUCUCCGUCAAUUUUCAAUUUCGUGAACUUCCGAUUCGCAAAGAUCCGGUUACGGUUUUUUGGUUUUUUUUUGGUUGUUUGGUGGCGGAACCCUAAUUUUAUCGGGAUUUGGAAGAUUUCAUGCGAUGCGAAGAGGAAUUGAGGUUCGUUUAGGUGUUUGAAGAUCUUGCGGUUUUGGUUUGGUUCGAUUUGAUUUGAUUUUUGAAAAAAAAAA